RNAcentral lists this long non-coding RNA (869 nucleotides) under Marmota monax (woodchuck). Lineage: Eukaryota; Metazoa; Chordata; Mammalia; Rodentia; Sciuridae. The record is from RNAcentral.
AUUUAACCAGUUAACCAGGAAUGCACCAAGGGCAGCACUGAGCUUGGGGCUGAUGAAGUGGGUCAGAAAUGGCAAGAAAAGUAUGUGUGUGAUACGUCCCAGCAAAUAAAGGAGCUGCUCACCCUCAUCAAAUGACCAGGGGGCUGAGAUUCCUGAACACUGAGCUUAGCUGCCCCAGCCACCCAGCUGUAGGAGCCACCAUGCCACCAAAAAUUUGCAUUGGCUCUCAGUCCCUUUCUCUUCUACGUCCAUGUGAAAUAUCUUGCUCUGCAAAGAUGCUCACUUGAUUGAGGGGCAUGACCUUCUCAGAGAAGGAACAGCCUUCUUUUCUUUUCUUUCUUUUUCUUUUUUUUUGUGUGUGUGACGCUGGUGAUUGAACCCAGGGCUUUGUGCAUGCGAGGCAAGCACUCUAACAACUGAGCUACAUCCCCAGCCCAAACAGCCCUUUUUAAUUCAGUGACAACUUUCAGAGAUACAUCUGGAAGUAUUUAUGGGCGACACAAUAUCUAGGAUUUAUUUCAAAAUUCUUCAGCAGCAAUAACUACAAAAAACAACAAAACUAGGAGAGGGGUAAAUGAUGACAAAUUGCAGAUGGACACUGGCUGAAACUGAGCAAUGUCAUUUAUUGUGGGGCAGGCCCAAGGUGCUACAGUAUGGUUCCCUCACUGAGAAUGGCCACCAGCUAUGUUUUAGUAUGUAGUCAAGGUCAUAAACACUCUGAUUCAGUAUCUGUGCUCAAGGUCAUAACUAUCUGCUUGUGAGCAUGUGCUCACUUAUGUAAGUCUUGGCACUGUCUUCUUAGGCCUGCACAUAAAGAAAAAAAAAAAGACCUAUUGGAAAAACUCAGGGGGUUGCUGCUGCCUUCAAAU